CCGCCUGCCCUGUGACUAUAUGUUUAACGGCCGCGGUAUCUUAACCGUGCGAAGGUAGCGUAAUCACUUGUCUUUUAAAUGAAGACCUGUAUGAAUGGCAUCACGAGGGCUUAACUGUCUCCCCUCUCCAGUCAAUGAAAUUGACCUCCCCGUGCAGAGGCGGGGAUAUUUAUAUAAGACGAGAAGACCCUGUGGAGCUUUAGACCUAAAGUAAACCACGUUUAAUGUACUAGAAUUAAUAGCAAAAACUUAGUGGACAUUUAUUUAAGUGUCUUUGGUUGGGGCGACCGCGGAGUAAAACAUAACCUCCAUGUGGACGGGGAUACUUUCCCUAAAACUCAGAGCCUCCACUCCAAGCAACAGAAAUUCUGACCUUACUGAUCCGGUACAACCGAUUAACGAACCCAGUUACCCCAGGGAUAACAGCGCAAUCCCCUCUCAGAGCUCAUAUCGACGAGGGGGUUUACGACCUCGAUGUUGGAUCAGGACAUCCUAGUGGUGCAGCCGCUAUUG
Molecule: ribosomal RNA, 513 nt
Filed under: Merluccius productus (North Pacific hake)
Lineage: Eukaryota; Metazoa; Chordata; Actinopteri; Gadiformes; Merlucciidae
Description: partial 16S ribosomal RNA
Rfam family: Bacterial large subunit ribosomal RNA
Source: RNAcentral